GUGGUAGCUACUUUCCCCUAACCCAUUUGUCUAACCCUCUCCAAAGUCCCGGCAAACCUUCAAAAAGGCCUUUGGGGCCACAACUAUUUAAUGUUAGGAAAUUAGUUGAUAUUUAUCAUUUGACAUUAUGCCUCGGAAGUGUAAAGAUUGUCCCAUCUGCGGCAAGCGAGCUUUAAAAAGAUUGGCAAACCAUUUGGCAGACGUCCAUGAACUUUCAUCCCAAGAGAGACAACCUUAUCUUAUUCGUGCUAAGCCAACAGCUUUAGACUUAGAAAAUGUUUAGCAGAGUUGUACAGAUUAACUGGAAACAGUAAAAAGCAGUCAAAGUGGAAUAAAAGCGGGAUAAAGAAUAUAUCCAUCCGUCAACCAAAAUCCUCCAGGAAGAUCGAGAACAAAAUCGAACACAAAAUCUGCAAAGAACGUGGACAAUGCAGAAAUGAAUGAUGGCUCAAAGGAGCGGUUAAAGUUAGAAACAAAAACGGGACAAAACUCUGAAGUGGAUAAUAUAUUUAUACAGAC
This is a non-coding RNA of Paramuricea clavata, 519 nucleotides long. NCBI's taxonomy places the organism in Eukaryota, Metazoa, Cnidaria, Anthozoa, Malacalcyonacea, Plexauridae. The record is from the annotation of a GenBank genome assembly.